This 468-nucleotide ribosomal RNA is filed under the name uncultured bacterium. Its description in RNAcentral is "partial 16S ribosomal RNA". It matches the Rfam family "Bacterial small subunit ribosomal RNA", at positions 28 to 507 of the family's 1533-position model. The record is from RNAcentral.
GACGAACGCUGGCGGCGUGCUUAACACAUGCAAGUCGAACGGAAAGGCCCUGCUUUUGUGGGGUGCUCGAGUGGCGAGCGGGUGAGUAACACGUGAGUAACCUGCCCUUGACUUUGGGAUAACUUCAGGAAACUUGGGCUAAUACCGGAUAGGAGCUCCUGCUGCAUGGUGGGGGUUGGAAAGUUUCGGCGGUUGGGGAUGGACUCGCGGCUGAUCAGCUUGUUGGUGGGGGAGUGGCUUACCAAGGCUUUGACGGGUAGCCGGCCUGAGAGGGUGAUCGGCCACAUUGUGACUGAGAUACGGCCCAGACUCCUACGGGAGGCAGCAGUGGGGAAUAUUGCACAAUGGGCGGAAGCAUUAUGCAGCAUCGCCGCGUGCGGGAUAACGGCCUUCUGGUUGUAACCCGCUUUCGCCUGUGACGAAGCGUGAGUGACGGUAAUGGGUAAAGAAGCACCGGCUCACUACGUG